RNAcentral lists this ribosomal RNA (515 nucleotides) under uncultured bacterium. RNAcentral describes it as "bacterial SSU rRNA". It matches the Rfam family "Bacterial small subunit ribosomal RNA", at positions 1 to 509 of the family's 1533-position model. The record is from RNAcentral.
UAGAGUUUGAUCCUGGCUCAGAUUGAACGCUAGCGGGAUGCCUUACACAUGCAAGUCGAACGGCAGCAUAAGAGAGCUUGCUCUCUUGAUGGCGAGUGGCGAACGGGUGAGUAAUGUAUCGGAACGUGCCCAGUAGCGGGGGAUAACUACGCGAAAGCGUAGCUAAUACCGCAUACGCCCUACGGGGGAAAGGAGGGGAUCCGCAAGGACCUUUCACUAUUGGAGCGGCCGAUAUCGGAUUAGCUAGUUGGUGGGGUAAAGGCCUACCAAGGCGACGAUCCGUAGCUGGUUUGAGAGGACGACCAGCCACACUGGGACUGAGACACGGCCCAGACUCCUACGGGAGGCAGCAGUGGGGAAUUUUGGACAAUGGGGGAAACCCUGAUCCAGCCAUCUCGCGUGUGCGAUGAAGGCCUUCGGGUUGUAAAGCACUUUUGUUAGGGAAGAAAAGUCUGGUGCUAAUACCACCGGAUGCUGACGGUACCUAAAGAAUAAGCACCGGCUAACUACGUGCC